CCAAUAUGCUGUAUGUCACCCACAUACAUAACCAAAAAGUUAAUGAAACUCACUUAUCUUCUUGCACACACAUAUUGUUCAUCUAUAUUUGAUAAAGUCAAAUAUUUUGACUGUUCCAUCAAUAAUGAAAGUACCUACUCCUCAUAAAUCUAUCUGAAUUCAUAAAUGCAUUUGCCCUCCCACUAGAGACUGCUUCUCUAGAUUCUGUAUGGCAAUAGCAAAAAUUUGAAUAGGCAUCUCUGAUAGCAAUUUGUUGGGUCAUACCCAUAGGUGCUUCAACCAUAGUCCACACUUGAUUGAUGUAUAGGGAGUCGAUUUCGGAUGAUAAGAUUUCAAGUCAGCUGUUAGAGUCUCUACUUAUAACAAUCUUCGAAUGGAUCAAGUAAAACAUCAUUCAUAAUGAUAUAUGGUAUACUGUCAUUCACAAUAACAAAUUUAUAUUUUGAGUGGUACAUUACACACUCAAAUUGAUCUUUCGAUGAGGA
Molecule: long non-coding RNA, 485 nt
Filed under: Elaeis guineensis (African oil palm)
Lineage: Eukaryota; Viridiplantae; Streptophyta; Magnoliopsida; Arecales; Arecaceae
Description: long non-coding RNA (EGUI_LNC038535)
Source: RNAcentral